CCCCAAUAUCCUAAUAUAGUCUUUCGGACGAAACACCUACUUCAAUGUACUAAUAAAAAAUAACACACUAAAUUUCAAACACUGUUUUUGGGUAAAAAAAUCAGGAUGUAAUUUGAUCCCUACAAAUCUUCGUUACGGCGCUGUCUGAAUUGAAUUUCCUUAUCCUCUUACUCUAAAAAAACGGUCCUUUAAAUUCCUCGCGCGUUAUAUCUUCCAAAUCAAAAGCCCUUUCGAAAGCACGCUGCCACUAAUUGGCACUUAGAUACACUGACAAUUGUCAUCACAGAUUCACAGUUGGAAACAGAUUGAAUUAUUUACAACGAACUUUAUUCAGAAGGGCUAGGACUGGACAAGACA
Paramuricea clavata is the source of this 357-nucleotide non-coding RNA. NCBI's taxonomy places the organism in Eukaryota, Metazoa, Cnidaria, Anthozoa, Malacalcyonacea, Plexauridae. The record is from the annotation of a GenBank genome assembly.